UGCACCCACCUCGGCCGGCAAGGAA
This 25-nucleotide non-coding RNA is filed under the name Mus musculus (house mouse). The record is from RNAcentral. Lineage: Eukaryota; Metazoa; Chordata; Mammalia; Rodentia; Muridae.